Molecule: long non-coding RNA, 324 nt
Filed under: Arachis ipaensis
Lineage: Eukaryota; Viridiplantae; Streptophyta; Magnoliopsida; Fabales; Fabaceae
Description: long non-coding RNA (AIPA_LNC001205)
Source: RNAcentral
UCAUACAGGCAAUGAUAGUGAGAAUCUGUGAGUGUCAUCAACAACCAACUCAAAAGGACCUUCCAAAUUAACAGCCGUAGAGCUAACACGAUGAAUCAGAGGCCCUAAAUCCUCUUCCACCGAUUUGGGCUUCCUCCUCAACUUGCUCCAACUCACAACCUGGUCAGAGAAUUUCACAAAAAAAUUGCUCUUUUUCCCAAACCCAAUUCUGAACUCGAAGUUCUGAAACGUUCCAAACCUGAACCUGUUCCCAAUAGAUUCCGAAUUAGGAACCCACAAAUCGUUCAAAUCCCACUUCUGCUUCAACGAGAUUGCCUUCAAUAC